RNAcentral lists this unclassified non-coding RNA (304 nucleotides) under plant metagenome. RNAcentral's name for it is "partial contains 5.8S ribosomal RNA, internal transcribed spacer 2, and large subunit ribosomal RNA". The stretch from base 1 to 104 matches the Rfam family "5.8S ribosomal RNA", at positions 51 to 154 of the family's 154-position model. The record is from RNAcentral.
AAAUGCGAUAAGUAAUGUGAAUUGCAGAAUUCAGUGAAUCAUCGAAUCUUUGAACGCACAUUGCGCCCGCCAGUAUUCUGGCGGGCAUGCCUGUUCGAGCGUCAUUUCAACCAUCAAGCCCCCGGCUUGUGUUGGGGACCUGCGGCUGCCCGCAGGCCCUGAAAAACAGUGGCGGGCUCGCUGUCACACCGAGCGUAGUAGCAUACAUUCUCGCUCAGUGCGUGCUGCGGGUUCCGGCCGUUAAACGACCUUCAUAACCCAAGGUUGACCUCGGAUCAGGUAGGAAGACCCGCUGAACUUAAGC